This is a long non-coding RNA of Prosopis cineraria, 608 nucleotides long. RefSeq lists it as uncharacterized. Lineage: Eukaryota; Viridiplantae; Streptophyta; Magnoliopsida; Fabales; Fabaceae. The record is from RefSeq and is a predicted model, not a curated record. The transcript is spliced from 4 exons.
GCUCUGUAGAAAAUUCUAGAUUCUCUCAUCUCUCACUCUCUGCCUUCUCCGUCUCCUCCUACUUCCGUCCGCAGCAUUGUUAGCGUGUGAGUGUGCGAGAGUUCUGUCCGACACUCCUUUGCCAACCUUUGCCGAUAUGGGCGUUUCUUAUUCAUGUAGUCGCCGUCGUUGCUUUGUUUGCCAUGGCUGUAUGUAACCUGUAGCCUCCCUCAUCUUCCUCUGUCUUUCAUCAUUGAAGCCUCUUCCUUCUGAUCUGUCUGAGUAACUACAAGGGGGAGACGUGACUGUUGUUCUGGAAAUUUGAUUUUGAAACUUCCUCCUUCUUUUAUGCUGUAAAUUUCGUUCCCUUUCUACUACUGUAAAUUGAGAUAGUGUAGCUGACACUGAACCAUCCGCCAAAUAUUGAGGAGUCUAUUAUUGACUAAAGGUGGAUGAGUUAAGGAUUAAGUAUUCUUUUGAUGUAAUGUUUUAAAUUAGGAAAUUUUAUUUUGUAAGCUUAAUUUAUGUGCUCCACAUAGUCUAUAGCUAAAACCUUUAUUUUGUCAUAUAUUUUUGCUUGGUGGUCGGAAGGAAUUGAAUUCCUGAUUAAUAUGAUAUUUAGUGUAAAA